GUUAGAACGCUCGUAGUCGGAUUUCGGGGCGGGCCGACCGGUCUGCCGAUGGGUACGCACUGGUCGGCGCGUCCUUCCUUCCGGAGACCGUGCCUACUCUUAACUGAGCGGGGGCGGGAGACGGAACGUUUACUUUGAAAAAAUCAGAGUGUUUCAAGCAGGCAGCUCGCUCUUGCAUGGAUUAGCAUGGGAUAAUGAAAUAGGACUUUGGUGCUAUUUUGUUGGUUUCGAACACCGAAGUAAUGAUGAGAAGGGACAGUCAGGGGCACUCGUAUUCCGCCGAGAGAGGUGAAAUUCUCAGACCAGCGGAAGACGAACCACUGCGAAAGCAUUUGCCAGGGAUGUUUUCACUGAUCAAGAACGAAAGUUAGGGGAUCGAAGACGAUCAGAUACCGUCGUAGUCUUAACCAUAAACCAUACCGACUAGGGAUUGGAGGAUGUUCACUGAUUGACUCCUUCAGCACCUUACGGGAAACUAAAGUCUUUGGGUUCCGGGGGGAGUAUGGUCGCAAGGCUGAAACUUAAAGGAAUUGACGGAAGGGCACCACCAGGUGUGGAGCCUGCGGCUUAAUUUGACUCAACACGGGGAAACUUACCAGGUCCAGACAUUGUGAGGAUUGACAGAUUGAGAGCUCUUUCUUGAUUUGAUGGGUGGUGGUGCAUGGCCGUUCUUAGUUGGUGGAGUGAUUUGUCUGGUUAAUUCCGUUAA
RNAcentral lists this ribosomal RNA (709 nucleotides) under uncultured marine eukaryote. RNAcentral's name for it is "SSU rRNA". It matches the Rfam family "Eukaryotic small subunit ribosomal RNA", at positions 618 to 1331 of the family's 1831-position model. The record is from RNAcentral.